GUAGUCCUAAAUCGAUGGCAGUUUAUCGCAUUUCCCUGCAAAACUGCCUACAAAUGGACUCAUAGGAACUCGUCUUAAUAUCCUUGUGCUCAAAGAAACCCAACUUUCCGCUCUCCUGGAACUUAAGACUACACU
RNAcentral lists this small nucleolar RNA (135 nucleotides) under Drosophila ananassae. RNAcentral describes it as "snoRNA:GF26050". The record is from RNAcentral. Lineage: Eukaryota; Metazoa; Arthropoda; Insecta; Diptera; Drosophilidae.